AGUAAAGUGGCGUACGGGUGAGUAACACGUGGGUGAUCUACCUUCUGGUGGGGAAUAACACUGGGAAACCGGGGCUAAUACCGCAUAAUAUCGAGAGAUCAAAGGAGCAAUUCGCUUAAGGAGGGGGUCGCGGCUGAUUAGCUAGUUGGUGAGGUAAUGGCUCACCAAGGCUAUGAUCAGUAUCCGGCCUGAGAGGGCGCACGGACACACUGGAACUGAAACACGGUCCAG
This 231-nucleotide ribosomal RNA is filed under the name uncultured bacterium. RNAcentral describes it as "partial 16S ribosomal RNA". It matches the Rfam family "Bacterial small subunit ribosomal RNA", at positions 89 to 334 of the family's 1533-position model. The record is from RNAcentral.